RNAcentral lists this ribosomal RNA (490 nucleotides) under uncultured bacterium. RNAcentral describes it as "partial 16S ribosomal RNA". It matches the Rfam family "Bacterial small subunit ribosomal RNA", at positions 30 to 507 of the family's 1533-position model. The record is from RNAcentral.
AUUGAACGCUGGCGGCAGGCCCAACACAUGCAAGUCGAACGGUAACAGGAAGAAGCUUGCUUCUUUGCUGACGAGUGGCGGACGGGUGAGUAAUGUCUGGGAAACUGCCUGAUGGAGGGGGAUAACUACUGGAAACGGUAGCUAAUACCGCAUAACGUCGCAAGACCAAAGAGGGGGACCUUCGGGCCUCUUGCAAUCGGAUGUGCCCAGAUGGGAUUAGCUAGUAGGUGGGGUAACGGCUCACCUAGGCGACGAUCCCUAGCUGGUCUGAGAGGAUGACCAGCCACACUGGAACUGAGACACGGUCCAGACUCCUACGGGAGGCAGCAGUGGGGAAUAUUGCACAAUGGGCGCAAGCCUGAUGCAGCCAUGCCGCGUGUAUGAAGAAGGCCUUCGGGUUGUAAAGUACUUUCAGCGGGGAGGAAGGGAGUAAAGUUAAUACCUUUGCUCAUUGACGUUACCCGCAGAAGAAGCACCGGCUAACUCCGUG